Molecule: small nucleolar RNA, 81 nt
Gene: SNORD115
Rfam family: Small nucleolar RNA SNORD115
About the family: HBII-52 is a member of the C/D class of snoRNAs, which contain the C (UGAUGA) and D (CUGA) box motifs. HBII-52 is encoded in a tandemly repeated array with another C/D snoRNA, HBII-85, in the Prader-Willi syndrome (PWS) region of chromosome 15.
Source: Ensembl
GGGCCAAUGAUUAGAACUCAUAUGGUCUCAAAGAGAGAUGAUGAUCUAAGAAUUACACUCAGUAGGAUUAUGCUGAGGUCC